GCCACCCUAGCUCAAUCGGUAGAGCACCCGACUUGUAAUCGGAAGGUUGUCGGUUCGAUUCCGAUGGGUGGCUCCA
RNAcentral lists this transfer RNA (76 nucleotides) under Trueperaceae bacterium. RNAcentral's name for it is "tRNA-Thr". It matches the Rfam family "tRNA". From Rfam's summary of the family: Transfer RNA (tRNA) molecules are approximately 80 nucleotides in length. Lineage: Bacteria; Thermotogati; Deinococcota; Deinococci; Trueperales; Trueperaceae. The record is from RNAcentral. RNAcentral also lists the same sequence under 3 other names.